Molecule: ribosomal RNA, 262 nt
Filed under: uncultured bacterium
Lineage: Bacteria
Description: partial 16S ribosomal RNA
Rfam family: Bacterial small subunit ribosomal RNA
Source: RNAcentral
GUCCACGCUGUAAACGAUGUCUGCUAGCCGUUGGGAUCCUUGAGGUUUCGGUGGCGCAGCUAACGCGAUAAGCAGACCGCCUGGGGAGUACGGCCGCAAGGUUAAAACUCAAAUGAAUUGACGGGGGCCCGCACAAGCGGUGGAGCAUGUGGUUUAAUUCGAUGCAACGCGAAGAACCUUACCAGGUCUUGACAUCCAGCGAACUGCCCAGAGAUGGGCGGUGCCUUCGGGAACGCUGAGACAGGUGCUGCAUGGCUGUCGU